This is a small nuclear RNA of Nycticebus coucang (slow loris), 166 nucleotides long. RefSeq annotates it as U1 spliceosomal RNA. NCBI's taxonomy places the organism in Eukaryota, Metazoa, Chordata, Mammalia, Primates, Lorisidae. The transcript has a single exon. The record is from RefSeq and is a predicted model, not a curated record.
AUACUUCCCUGGCAGGGCAGAUACCAUGAUCACGAAGGUGAUUUUCCCAGGGCGCAGCUUAUCCGUUGCUCUCUUGGGUUGUGCUGACCCCUGUGAUUUCCCCAAAUGUGGGAAACUCGACUACAUAAUUUGUGGUAGUAGGGGACUGCGUUUGUGCUUUCUCCUG